UGGGGGAUAUUGCACAAUGGGGGAAACCCUGAUGCAGCGACGCCGCGUGAGGGAAGAAGGUUUUCGGAUUGUAAACCUCUGUCUUCAGUGACGAAAUGAGACGGUAACUGAGGAGGAAGCCACGGCUAACUACGUGCCAGCAGCCGCGGUAAUACGUAGGUGGCAAGCGUUGUCCGGAAUUACUGGGUGUAAAGGGAGCGUAGGCGGGGAGACAAGUCGGGUGUUAAAUCUAUCGGCUCAACUGGUAGCAGCACUCGAAACUGUAACUCUUGAGUGAAGUAGAGGUAAGCGGAAUUCCUAGUGUAGCGGUGAAAUGCGUAAAUAUUAGGAGGAACACCAGUGGCGAAGGCGGCUUACUGGGCUUUAACUGACGCUGAGGCUCGAAAGCAUGGGUAGCAAACA
Molecule: ribosomal RNA, 402 nt
Filed under: uncultured bacterium
Lineage: Bacteria
Description: bacterial SSU rRNA
Rfam family: Bacterial small subunit ribosomal RNA
Source: RNAcentral